RNAcentral lists this ribosomal RNA (250 nucleotides) under uncultured prokaryote. Its description in RNAcentral is "partial 16S ribosomal RNA". It matches the Rfam family "Bacterial small subunit ribosomal RNA", at positions 524 to 775 of the family's 1533-position model. The record is from RNAcentral.
UACGUAGGGAGCAAGCGUUAUCCGGAUUUAUUGGCGUAAAGGGUGCGUAGGCUGCUUGUUAAGUAUGAAAUUAAAGCCCGAGGCUUAACUUCGGUUCGUUUCAUAAACUGGCUAGCUUGAGUAUGGAAGAGGCAAACGGAACUUCUAGUGUAGCGGUGAAAUGCGUAGAUAUUAGAAGGAACACCAGUGGCGAAGGCGGUUUGCUGGGCCAUUACUGACGCUGAGGCACGAAAGCGUGGGGAGCAAAUAG